RNAcentral lists this ribosomal RNA (439 nucleotides) under uncultured bacterium. RNAcentral's name for it is "partial 16S ribosomal RNA". It matches the Rfam family "Bacterial small subunit ribosomal RNA", at positions 339 to 795 of the family's 1533-position model. The record is from RNAcentral.
CUACGGGAGGCACCAGUGGGGAAUAUUGGACAAUGGGGGCAACCCUGAUCCAGCAAUGCCGCGUGAGUGAAGAAGGCCCUAGGGUUGUAAAACUCUUUCAGUCGUGAAGAUGAUGACGGUAACGACAGAAGAAGCACCGGCUAACUUCGUGCCAGCAGCCGCGGUAAUACGAAGGGUGCUAGCGUUGUUCGGAAUUACUGGGCGUAAAGCGCGCGUAGGCGGAUAGAUCAGUCAGAGGUGAAAGCCCCGAGCUCAACUUGGGAACUGCCUUUGAUACUGUUUAUCUUGAGUCCGAGAGAGGGUAGUGGAAUUCCCAGUGUAGAGGUGAAAUUCGUAGAUAUUGGGAAGAACACCAGUGGCGAAGGCGGCUACCUGGCUCGGUACUGACGCUGAGGUGCGAAAGCGUGGGGAGCAAACAGGAUUAGAUACCCGGGUAGUC